UACGUAGGGUGCAAGCGUUUGUCCGGAAUUAUUGGGCGUAAAGAGCUCGUAGGCGGUCUGUUGCGUCGGCUGUGAAAACCCGGGGCUCAACUCCGGGCCUGCAGCCGAUACGGGCAGACUAGAGUUCGGCAGGGGAGACUGGAAUUCCUGGUGUAGCGGUGAAAUGCGCAGAUAUCAGGAGGAACACCGGUGGCGAAGGCGGGUCUCUGGGCCGAUACUGACACUGAGGAGCGAAAGCGUGGGGAGCGAACAGG
Molecule: ribosomal RNA, 254 nt
Filed under: uncultured bacterium
Lineage: Bacteria
Description: partial 16S ribosomal RNA
Rfam family: Bacterial small subunit ribosomal RNA
Source: RNAcentral